GACGAACGCUGGCGGCGUGCUUAACACAUGCAAGUCGAACGGAAAGGCCCUGCUUUUGUGGGGUGCUCGAGUGGCGAACGGGUGAGUAACACGUGAGUAACCUGCCCUUGACUUUGGGAUAACUUCAGGAAACUGGGGCUAAUACCGGCUAGGAGCUCCUGCUGCAUGGUGGGGGUUGGAAAGUUUGGGCGGUUGGGGAUGGACUCGGGGCUUAUCAGCUUGUUGGUGGGGUAGUGGCUUACCAAGGCUUUGACGGGUAGCCGGCCUGAGAGGGUGACCGGCCACAUUGGGACUGAGAUACGGCCCAGACUCCUACGGGGGGCAGAAGUGGAGAAUAUGGCACAAUGGGCGGAAGCCUGAUGCAGCAACGCCGCGUGCGGGAUGACGGCCUUCGGGUUGUAAACCGCUUUCGCCUGUGACGAAGCGUGAGUGACGGUAAUGGGUAAAGAAGCACCGGCUAACUACGUG
RNAcentral lists this ribosomal RNA (468 nucleotides) under uncultured bacterium. RNAcentral's name for it is "partial 16S ribosomal RNA". It matches the Rfam family "Bacterial small subunit ribosomal RNA", at positions 28 to 507 of the family's 1533-position model. The record is from RNAcentral.